Molecule: ribosomal RNA, 440 nt
Filed under: uncultured bacterium
Lineage: Bacteria
Description: partial 16S ribosomal RNA
Rfam family: Bacterial small subunit ribosomal RNA
Source: RNAcentral
CCUACGGGUGGCAGCAGUAGGGAAUAUUGCUCAAUGGGGGAAACCCUGAAGCAGCAACGCCGCGUGGAGGAUGAAGGUUUUCGGAUUGUAAACUCCUUUUGUUAGAGAAGAUAAUGACGGUAUCUAACGAAUAAGCACCUGCCAAAGCCGUGCCAGCAGCCACGGUAAUACGGAGGGUGCAAGCGUUACUCGGAAUGACUGGGCGUAAAGAGCGCGUAGGCGGGAUAGCAAGUCAGAUGUGAAAUCCUAUGGCUGAACCAUAGAACUGCAUUUGAAACUGGUAGUCUAGAGUAUGUGAGAGGUAGGUGGAAUGCUUGGUGUAGCGGUAAAAUGCGUAGAGAGCAAGAGGAAUACUGAUUGCGAAGGCGGCCUGCUAGAACAUAACUGACGCUGAGGCGCGAAAGCGUGGGGAGCAAACAGGAUUAGAUACCCCUGUAGUC